Long non-coding RNA from Motacilla alba alba, 957 nucleotides. RefSeq lists it as uncharacterized. The record is from RefSeq and is a predicted model, not a curated record. The transcript has 4 exons. NCBI's taxonomy places the organism in Eukaryota, Metazoa, Chordata, Aves, Passeriformes, Motacillidae.
GGAAGAAGCGUCUCUGCACAGGCGUUUCUCUGCAGCGCGCCAGGGGCUGCACUCCCACAGGGAGUGGGAUCCUGACUCUGAGCAGCCCCAGCCGCUGCCCAGACCCGGGCCAGCCGUGUCCUGGUGCGCCCGGCGCGCCCUGCGGGAGCUGAGCCUGGCCCAGGCCGCCCCGGAGAGCUGGUUCAGGGAAUGCAGGCAUGCCAGGAAAGACAUUUUUGUCCUACCUGAAACACCUGAAGCGGACCAAAUUCUGUGGACCAAGCUUCCCAUCCCUCAGAGGCACCUCUUUGCAUCCAGGAAAGGAGUGUCCACCUCCAAAGAGGCUGAAGGGGCUGGUGGGAGCCUCCUGAGGAAAUGCACCAAGGCCAGCUCGGGGUCUUCUCCUGUGCCCGGCUCCCGCUCCAAACCUGUCCUGCCUCCAAUCCCACCUGGAUGGAAGAGCAGCAACCCCUGACGGCCACUUCCAGCCCGGUUCCUGUCGCACUGCCUCUUUCCAGCCCUGCUUUUCAUCUCUUUCUCUGCAAAACCUAUCAAAUAUUAUUGCUGAAUCCAUUUCUGAUUAACUCUCCAAAACAAAAAAAAUUAAAAAAAAGGGGUUAUUUAUUUAUAACUUUAUUAAAAAGUAAUUUCUGUAUUUCCCAAAGCCAGAAAUUAUUUCCCUGGGCGCUCUCAGCUGGGAAAUGGUGGAGAUUUUUUUUUCCUAGCAUGGAAUUGUAUCUUCCAUUAAUUUUAUGGAUUUAAUUGAGGUGUGGAAGCACCAGGGCUUCUGAUAAUAUUGUCUGUAUUGAAGGGCUGGUGAAUUAUUUAAAAGAGGGAUUUUGUGAAAUGUUCAGAGGGAAAUUGGGAGUGAAAACCAGUUCAGAGUUGGGGUUUUUUUUAAAAAAUAAAAUGCGGUUGAGUCGCAAUUAUUUAAUUUGCAAGUGGAUUUAGAGAACCUAGAGAGGAGUCAUCAGCAAA